This 235-nucleotide ribosomal RNA is filed under the name uncultured bacterium. RNAcentral describes it as "partial 16S ribosomal RNA". It matches the Rfam family "Bacterial small subunit ribosomal RNA", at positions 120 to 354 of the family's 1533-position model. The record is from RNAcentral.
AGUAACCUGCCUUGGAGUGGGGAAUAACAGCUGGAAACAGCUGCUAAUACCGCAUGAUGCAGUUGGGUCGCAUGGCUCUGACUGCCAAAGAUUUAUCGCUCUGAGAUGGACUCGCGUCUGAUUAGCUAGUUGGCGGGGCAACGGCCCACCAAGGCGACGAUCAGUAGCCGGACUGAGAGGUUGGCCGGCCACAUUGGGACUGAGACACGGCCCAGACUCCUACGGAAGGCAGCAG